Molecule: non-coding RNA, 429 nt
Organism: Urocitellus parryii (Arctic ground squirrel)
Lineage: Eukaryota; Metazoa; Chordata; Mammalia; Rodentia; Sciuridae
Source: the annotation of a RefSeq genome assembly
AUGACUUGGAAGGCCCUUCUCAUCAGCCUCCUGGCUCAUUACACAGGUUCUAUAGCCUCUUAUGUGCUGACUCAGCCAUCAUCUAUCUCCAUGACCCCAGGACAGAUGGCCAGAAUCACAUGUGAAGGCAACAAUAUUGGUAGUAAAAAUGUGCACUGGUACCAGCAGAAGCCAGCACAGUCCCAGCUGCUCGUUAUCUACAAUGAUAAAAGAUGGCCCUCAGGAAUCCCUGACGGAUUCUCUGGCUCCAACUCUGGGAACACAGCCACCCUGACCAUCAGUGGGUCCCAAAAUGGAGAUGAGGCUGACUAUUACUGUCAUGUGUUGGAUAGUAGUGCUGCUCACAGUGACACAGGCAGACAGGGAAGUGAGACAAAAAUCUACCACCAGCCUGGCACCAAAGGCCUCUUCCUACCCUGGUUACCCUGA